GGCAGCAGCUAAGAAUAUUCCGCAAUGGACGAAAGUCUGACGGAGCGACGCCGCGUGGAUGAUGAAGGCCGGAAGGUUGUAAAAUCCUUUUAUGACUGAGGAAUAAGUGAAGUGAGAGAAACGCUUCAUGGUGACUGUAGGUCAUGAAUAAGCAACGGCUAAUUACGUGCCAGCAGCCGCGGUAACACGUAAGUUGCGAGCGUUGUUCGGAAUUAUUGGGCGUAAAGGGUAUGUAGGCGGUUCUGCAAGUCUGGUGUGAAAUUCCGGGGCUCAACCCCGGGACUGCGUUGGAAACUGCAGGACUUGAAUCGCUGAGGGGCAGCCAGAAUUCCAGGUGUAGGGGUGAAAUCUGUAGAUAUCUGGAAGAAUACCAAUGGCGAAGGCAGGCUGCCAGCAGAUGAUUGACGCUGAGGUACGAAGGUGCGGGGAGCAAACAGGAUUAGAUACCCUGGUAGUCCGCACAGUCAACUAUGUACACUGGGUGUCCGCUCAUGAGAGUGGGUGCCGAAGCAAACGCGAUAAGUGUACCGCCUGGGGAGUAUGCCCGCAAGGGUGAAACUCAAAGGAAUUGACGG
This 575-nucleotide ribosomal RNA is filed under the name uncultured rumen bacterium. RNAcentral describes it as "bacterial SSU rRNA". It matches the Rfam family "Bacterial small subunit ribosomal RNA", at positions 347 to 916 of the family's 1533-position model. The record is from RNAcentral.